Molecule: non-coding RNA, 1230 nt
Organism: Chlorocebus sabaeus (green monkey)
Lineage: Eukaryota; Metazoa; Chordata; Mammalia; Primates; Cercopithecidae
Source: RefSeq, a predicted model, not a curated record
UCAUUCCGGGACCCGACGCGCGCACGCGCGGCCCAGGGCGCGUGCGCAUCACCGGGCGUGUGGGCGUCUCUACGCACGCGCCUGGCGGCCAGCCAGUCGGCAGCUGCGCAGUUCUUUCUCACUGGGCGAGAAAGCCGGGUGCGACCCGCAACGCCCCGGGGUUACCUACACGGAAACUGAGUCUGUGUGCGGAUACCUGUUUUCUGGGCAUCGGCUGCUCGGUGAAGCUCAGUGGCUCAUGUUCGUCACCCUUUUGCCCUGUUCCGUGGUGCGCAGGCGCUGUCGUGCGCGUGCCUUCAACUGUCUCAAACUUACUGUACCCCCUUCUCCAUUCCCCUUGUCAUCUCUGCCUGUUGUGCCCUUGGUUCAUCCUAAAAGAAUGGCUUCAGUGAGGAAUCUGGUUGCCAUGGUUAUUAUCGUGAUUAUCACCGUGGUGCCAGCCACAGUGAUGGGCUGAGGUGGGUGGAUCACUUGAGGCCAGGAGUUCAAGCAGAACAUGAACGAAGUGUGGGACUCUUCUGAACUCGGGGCUCUAUGCAGUUGCACAGGUUGCACGCCCAUGAAGCCGGCUGUGUUCACAGUUGUUCCCAGCUAAUGCCAGAGGGCCCCUUUGCUUGAAGCCAGCAGCAGAUCCGGAGACACACCCCUCAGCAUUGUUGCCACGUGAAAUUUGUUGUCUAUCAGACCCCAGAGGCUCCCAGUUCUUGGUGGGCAGCAAGGGCAGAAGUGGGUGACUCACCUUCUGGCACAAACAUGUUGGCGAUCACCAUGAGCCCGGCCAGGAUGAGGAAGGAGGCCACCGUGGCCCGGCGACCCAUGUAAAUCAUGGUGGCGGUGGCCACCAGCAUGGCCGGGAUGUUGAUGAUUCCAAACGGCCUGCACCAGUACCACCUCAGUGCCGAAAUUAAGGCAGUGCUAAAAAAUAAAAAGAGAAGAAGAUGGAGGAAGGUCAAAGGACACAGGAGGCAAUGUGGAAGAGCUCCCAAUAGCCAAAGUUGGAGCAAUUUGGGAAAUAAGGUAAAGAAUGUAGUAUCUGCUAAAUAAAGGAAAAACGUCGUUGAAUUAUAACCCAAAGUAUAAACUACAUGAUUAUACAUGAGCCUAUAUAAAUAAAUGAUUUAAUAAAAAAGUCUUUCUUACAGAAGAACUCCAAACAAUAUGUGUAAAUAUUCCAUUCCUUGGCUGGGAGCAGUGACUCACACCUGUAAUCCCAGCACUUUGGGAGGCCAA